Molecule: non-coding RNA, 236 nt
Organism: Peromyscus maniculatus bairdii (prairie deer mouse)
Lineage: Eukaryota; Metazoa; Chordata; Mammalia; Rodentia; Cricetidae
Source: RefSeq, a predicted model, not a curated record
UUUUAAUUGUAUGUUAAUAAAUAAAGUUGCCCGGGGGUCAGAGCUAUUAGAACCAUAGACAGAGUAUGGUGGUGGUGGCACACGCCUUUAGAUCCCAGAGAUCUCUGUGUGUUCAGGGAUAAAGCCAGCAUUGGAGACGUAUGCUUUUAAGACCUAGAGGGCUGUACAUACAGGCAGUGAAGAGGCAGUCACGUGUUUGGGUUUACAACCAAUGAGAAGGCAGAACAAAAUACUAU